This 3390-nucleotide ribosomal RNA is filed under the name Colobanthus quitensis. Its description in RNAcentral is "eukaryotic LSU rRNA". It matches the Rfam family "Eukaryotic large subunit ribosomal RNA". The record is from RNAcentral. Lineage: Eukaryota; Viridiplantae; Streptophyta; Magnoliopsida; Caryophyllales; Caryophyllaceae.
AGAGCAGAUUACCCGCCGAAUUUAAGCAUAUUAGUAAGCGGAGGAAAAGAAAACAACAGUGAUUCCACCAGUAACGGCGAGUGAAGAUGGAAGAGCUCAGAUUUAGAAUCCGGUGUUAUGAAAAGAUAUCGGAAUUGUAGUCUUUGACGGGUGCCUACCAACGUCUUGUCUUGCCAAUCAUGAAUAAUCCAUGGAAAGGGUAGCCACAGAGCGUGAAAGCCGCGUUUGUGUGGUUGGCAGAAUGAGAAUUAAUAAGUGAGGUGUUCGUUUCGAGUCGGGUUGUUUGGGAUUGCAGCCUCAAGAAUAGCGGUGUUAGACCACAUCGAAAGCUAAAUAUGGCAAGGAGACCGAUAGCGAACAAGUACUGCGAAGGAAAGGUGAAAAGGACUUUGAAGAGAGAGUCAAAAGAACUUGAAAUCGUCAAGAGGGAAGCGAAGUCGUCGAGAUUAAGCGUCAGAUUAUGGGAGGAUGGGUAAAACUGUCUACUUGUAGUUUGCGUGGCCAUGCAGUGAUUUGGACCUGAGUGAAGAUGGAUUGGAUGAAGAGGACGAGAAGUUAAAUUCUCGAGACCGGCAUUCGGUAACUAUUAUACGCUCGUCUAGAUCAUAUCGUGCGAGAAGAGGAGAUUUAUCAGCAUGCUUAAUCGCGUGUAACCUCAUUCCGUUUGCAGGUAAUUUGACUUGACGACUACGACCCGUCUUGUAACACGGACCAAGGAGUCUAACAACUAAGCAAGGGUGCGCCAAAAUUAAAGGGUGAUCCCGUAGAGAAAUCGAAGAAAUUGAUGGCUAGUUAGAAAUGACAAACCGGCAAAUUUCGGGUGAAGGAGUUCUGCUCCUUUGCAUCGAUAGUUUAGCUGUUAGGACCCGAAAGAUGGUGAACUAUACCCGCACAAGCUGAAGUGUUGAGAAAUCAUCAUGGAGGGCUGUAGCGAUACUGACGUGCAAAUCGUUCGUUUGAUGUGGGCAUAGGUGCGAAAGACUAAUCGAACCAUCUGGUAGCUGGUUUCCUCCGAAAUUUCUCUCAGGAUAGCUGGGGCUCAUUUAUGCAGUUGUAUGUAGUAGAGAUGAUGUCUAGAGUAACAGGGGACAAUCGCGUCCUUUGACUAUUCGCAAACUUCGAACACGUACGAAAGGGGGUUUGCUUAAUUGAAACCCCCUGUGAAUGAGAGCCCCAAGUGGGCCGUCUUUGGUAAGCAGAGCUGGCGAUGCGGGAUCAACCGAACGCAAAGAGAAGGUGCCUAAAUUUACGCUCAUCAGACAAUCGUAAAGGGUGUUUGUUCAUAUAGACAGCAGGACGGUGGUCAUGGAAGUAGAAAUCCGCUAAGGAGUGUGUAACAACUCACCUGCCGAAUGGAGAAGCCCCGAAAAUGAAUGGCGCUCAAGCGUAAUACCGAUACUUUGCUAUUGGAAAAUGAAAUAGUUUCCAAUAAGUAGGAGGACGUCGGCGUUGGAUAGAAGGCAUUGGGUAGCCAGUGUUGGACCAGCGUCGAGUGCAGAUCUUGGUGGUAGUAGCAAAUACAAAAGAGAGUACCUUUUGGGCCGAAGUGGAGCAAGGUUUUCAUAGAACGACAUUCGGUAUGAAGUUAGUCGGUCCUAAGGAAGGUGGCGAAAGCCAUAUAAAGCCGUUGAUGCCAAGCAAUUGGGAACAAAGGUCCUCCGAAAGGGAAUCAGUUUAAAAUCACUGAACCACUGCAUGUGCGAGAUGUGGCAACACUUUUAGUAUGCCGGCGACGCUUGCCAAGAGACGUUGAAGAGUUGUCUUUUCUUCUUAACUGACUAACGAGAGAUCCGUGGAAUGGAUUUGGUCCGAGAUAUGGUUCAAAGUCAGGAAGAGUGGAGGCGCCUUUGCCUCCACAAUCGUACUCUUGGUUGGUCCUUGAAAAGCCGGUACUAUCUACUUAAAACGCGCAUGUAUGGCCGUACUGAUAACCGCCUCAGGUCUCCUAGGUGAGAAGCCUCUGGUCGAUAGAAGAAUGUGGAUAAGGGAAGUCGGCAAGAUAGAUCCGUAACUUCGGGAAAAGGAUUGGCUCUAAAGCGAAGUCGUAGGGAGGCUGCUCGUCGUUGCUUUGCUGGGAUUUGGGUAGUCGCAAGGCUGCUUGGGUUUCGGUGGGGUGGCAACUUGUAGUUGUGGGGCAACUCACACCCUGCGGCGUCAUUUCGCAGUUUAGAACCGUCACGGACAAAGGGAAUCCGACUGUUUAACUAAAACAUAGCAUUGUGAUGGUCGGUGAACGAUGAUGACACAAUGUGAUUUCUGCCCAGUGCUCUGAAUGUCAAUUUGAAGAGACUCAAUGAAGCGCGGGUAAACGGCGGGAGUAACUAUGACUCUCUUAAGGUAGCCAAAUGCCUCGUCAUCNNAUGCCUCGUCAUCUAAUUAGUGACGCGCAUGAAUGGAUUAACGAGAUUCCCACUGUCCCUAUCUACUAUCUAGCGAAACCACAGCCAAGGGAACGGGCUUCGCAAAAUCUGCGGGGAAAGAAGACCCUUUUGAGCUUGACUCUAGUCUGAAACAGUUGAAUGGUACGGGAGGUAUAGAAUAGGUGGGAGGUGUUAAAAGCCGACAGUGAAAUACCACUACUCCUGAUGCUAUUCGACUACGGUAAUGGGCAACGGGGCCAAGGAGACUUGGUUUUUCUGGAAAGAAGGAUGAUGCACGCUGGGGACACUUUAAAACGUUUUUUAGCCUCUGCCAUUCGUCGUUUGGUACCAAAUAUUUCAGGUGGGGAGUUUGGCUGGGGCGGCACAUCUGUUAAAAUGCAACACAGAUGUCCAAAGGGGAGCUCAGAGCGGACAGAAACCACUCGUAGAGCAAAAGGGCAAAAGCUCCCUUGAUUUUGACUUCCAGUACGAGUACAAACAGUGAAAACUAGGCCUAUCGAUCCUUUAUCUUGUUAUGGAGUAACGUUUAACGAUAGAGGUGCCAGAAAAGUUACCACAGGGAUAACUGGCUUGUGGCAGCCAAGCGUUCAUAGCGACGUUGCUUUUUGAUCCUUCGAUGUCGGCUCUUCCUAUCAUUGUGAAGCAGAAUUCACCAAGUGUUGGAUUGUUCACCCACUAAUAGGGAACGUGAGCUGGGUUUAGACCGUCGUGAGACAGGUUAGUUUUACCCUACAGAUAAGACGAUAAAUCGAUCGUUACCCCGACAGUAAUACAAGUCAGUACGAGAGGAACCCUUGUAUCGGAUAAUUGGUGUAUGUGCUUCCACGAGAGUGGAGUGGCACGAAGCUACAAUCCGAUUGGUUACAGCUGAACGCCUCUAAGUUGGUACCAUGUCUGGAAAAGGAGUGACAUUAAGAAAUAUGUGGCAGAUGAAUCAAGCAGCGAACUAUACAUCAAACCAUACCAAUUUGGUUGAUCGGUCGUCCGACUAUCGUUUGGCGGCCGUUCA